This 1719-nucleotide long non-coding RNA is filed under the name Ananas comosus (pineapple). RNAcentral describes it as "long non-coding RNA (ACOM_LNC015549)". Lineage: Eukaryota; Viridiplantae; Streptophyta; Magnoliopsida; Poales; Bromeliaceae. The record is from RNAcentral.
AAUUUAAUUUUGAUCCACUAUAAUUAAAAUUUUUUAAUUGUUCAUUCAAAUUUGAUAUCUAAAAUAAAAUUUAAUUCAUGAUUUAAACUCAAAUUUUAAUUUUAAUGUAAAAUAGAUGGAUAGGAAUGCUUUUUUUAACAGAUUAAACAAAUUGAUUAUAACUGUUCGUAGGAUUGAAUUUAUAGAUGAAUAAAAAUAUUAUUUUCUAACAAAUUAAUUAUAACUGUUCAUUCUUAUUCAGAUAUUUUUUUAAUAAAUUGAUCAUAAGCGUUCGUAGGGAAUAAUUUAUUUAUUCCUUUUUUUAUUCUGUCUAUCAUGGUAAGAAUUUCUAUACUCUUUUAUACAUAGUAUAGAUUGAGUAAUCCAGUGAGCUAUUUAGACAAUUAAACAUUCGUAAACUACUUAAAAAUCUGAAAAUUUUGUUACUAUAUAUGACUAGUAGAUUUUUCAUAACAUGGAGAUUUUGGUUUUGAUAAAAAAAAUUUUUGAUUUUUUAUUUUACAGAUGUUCAAAUUUCAGUUAGCGUAUUUUUUUUUUAGAGUUAGGCUGGAAUACUAUCGAUAGUAAAAAAAAUUUUUUGCUAUCAAGUUUUUAAUUAUUGGAUGAGAAAUUAUAGGAUCAGAAUAAUAUUAGUCUCUUAGAGUUGAAAUGGUCCUCCUAUGAUUGAUUAGUUUUCACUGGAUUAUAAUAUUUGAUCCAUGGGUUAUAAUAUUUAACCGUUGGAUGAGAAAAGUUGUUUCAGUUAAUCUUUUCCAUCUUUACGUUAAGGCAUAUAAUUGUCUUUAACUUCUUUUAUUUGCUAGAUUAUUUAUAGUACAUUACUUUUCUUUUGUUAGCAAAAUCAUGAUGCUAUUAUUGUCUUAGUACAUGAGUUCCCUACCAUAUAUACAGCUAAUAAGCUACCUUAACUAUUACGCCAAGCGCAAAGGCUUAUCAUGUGGUCAUGUCAUAUAUAUACAGUGUACUGUAACCUCUAUUUAUGUAGACAUUUUCUGAUUAAUAAAAAUAUCCCAAAAUUUAUAUAUAUAUAUAUAUAUAUAUAUAUAUAUAUAUAUAUAUAUAUAUAUAGUUCGGCUGCUAUGCUAUUAAUAGCACGAAGCACUUAGUGCUACCAAGUUUUCCGCCGUUAGAUCUACCCUUUUGAUAAUUUUCACGCGUUAGAUCAUACUAUUCAACCAACCACCCACUCAACUCUAGAGGGCCCACAUCAUCCUAACCGUACAUCUCUUAAUCCAAUGGUCAAAAACUUGGUAGCACCAAUGACUUGGUGCUAUUAAUAGUAUAUUAGCCUAGUUCUAUAUAUAUAUAUUUGUGAUGAUCCCAUUCAUUAAUAAUAAUAACUUGUUGGUUCAAAUCACUAAUCCAAAAUGUUUAGAUUCAGACGUCUUUAUCGGAAAAGACUAUUAGACGAUGUGGGACUAUUACUAAACUAUUACUAGAGUGUGCAGCCUCAUAUAUACCCAAUCGUAACCGGAUUUCUCGUGCUUAGACUCCGCCGUUUUCGUCAAGAUCAUCAGGCGAUAUAAGACUCACCUCAUAUUUUCUGUUACUGAAACGACUCCGAUACCACUGUAACGACCUAGCCCGCUAUCAGCAAUAACUUAUUGGGUCCAAACUAUCUUCCCAAAAUACUUAAAUUCAAUUAUUAUUAUUAGAAUACGUGAUUUCUUAUAUUUUUUAUCAGAAUUAUUGUCAUUCAAUGUGGAAUUAUUGCAGUGU